GUCACCCAGGAAGGAACACACCAGGCUCGUUGGCCCUGGUUGACACUGUUGGAAGCAGCUUGGAGAAAGGGCUUGGACCUGGGGCAGCAGCAAGGGACAGGAGGUCCCUUAGGCCUAUGGAGGAAGCUCUGUG
Long non-coding RNA from Fukomys damarensis (Damara mole-rat), 133 nucleotides. RefSeq lists it as uncharacterized. The transcript has 3 exons. The record is from RefSeq and is a predicted model, not a curated record. NCBI's taxonomy places the organism in Eukaryota, Metazoa, Chordata, Mammalia, Rodentia, Bathyergidae.